UACGUAGGGUGCAAGCGUUGUCCGGAAUUAUUGGGCGUAAAGAGCUUGUAGGCGGUUUGUCGCGUCUGCUGUGAAAUUUCGGGGCUCAACCCCGAACUUGCAGUGGGUACGGGCAGACUAGAGUGUGGUAGGGGAGACUGGAAUUCCUGGUGUAGCGGUGAAAUGCGCAGAUAUCAGGAGGAACACCAAUGGCGAAGGCAGCACUCUGGGACGGUACUGACGCUGAGACGCGAAAGCGUGGGGAGCGAACAGG
This 253-nucleotide ribosomal RNA is filed under the name uncultured bacterium. RNAcentral's name for it is "partial 16S ribosomal RNA". It matches the Rfam family "Bacterial small subunit ribosomal RNA", at positions 524 to 776 of the family's 1533-position model. The record is from RNAcentral.